GAAACAAACUUUAUUUUUAGAACACACACAAAUGGCACCACACAGCUCCUCAGGAAAACCUUCAGAGCCCAACUGCCACCACCGGCUUCCCCCAAGCCUCUCCACCUCCCCCAUUCCUCCUGCUCUUGAGGCCGAUUGGCUGGGUUUCAUGGGCGGAGCCAAAAAAAGUCCCCCAAUGAGCAGCUCCAUGGCCUGAAAGGGUGGGGAAGCAGCCCAAUGAGCAUCACCGCAGAGGAGCCAAUCAGUUGGCAGCUAGAAGUUUGCUGGGGCUCCUGUGAGCCAAUCAUCAGCUGGAAGCUGGAAGUUUGCUGGCAGCUGGAAGUUUGCUGGGGCCCCUUCCGCUGUGGCUCUCAACAAGCCCCACCAAGCCAGGGAGCAGAUGCAAGGUCAGGGCCCAGAGGCACAGGAGUCUGCAGAUCCGAGCCCUGAGUGAGGACCAGCAGAGUGCAUCCAGCAGCGCCCAGCAGGAUGGAGGUGCUCAGGGCUGUCCUCCUGGCCCUGCUGCUGUGCGGGCAAUCAGGGUGUGAACAGGCACAGGAGGAAGAUGCUGAUGACAUGGACUUGGGGCCGGAGAGCUACGGUUAUGAUGAUGAGGACGAGGACGACGAGGAGACCAACGUGGCCCCUGGCACAGAGCGCCUGCAGUGCUACUUCUGCCAGUCCCUGCACAGGGGCGAGAACUGCACCCACAUGCAGAGCUGCCCUAGCCACGCCUCCUGCAUCACACUGAUCUCCCACGGAAACACAGACUCAGGUUUCCUGACCACCUACUCCAUGUGGUGUGUGGACACGUGCCAGCCUAUUAUCAAGACAGUAGAUGGAACCCAGAUGACCAAGACCUGCUGCCAGUCCACCCUGUGCAAUGUCCCACCCUGGCAGAGGCCCCAAAUGCGGGAUCCUCUGGGUGGCAGGGCAGGCAGCCCACAGGACGGUGGAGCUGGCCAUCCCAAGGGAGGCAGGGCAGGCAGCUCCCAAGAUGGCGGAGCUGGCCAUCCCCAGGAAGGGGAGGCAGACAGCCCCCAAGACAGUGGAACUGGCCAUCCCCAGGGCAGUGGGGCUGGCCAUCCCCAGGGCAGCAGGCCUGGACAUCCCCGGAGUGGUGGGGCUGGCCAUUCCCAGGGAGGCAAGAUAGGCAGCCCCCAAGAUAGUGGAACUGGCCAUCCCCAGGGCAGCAGGCCUGGACAUCCCCAGAGUGGUGGAGCUGGCCGUCCCCAGGGUGGCAGGGCAGGUGGCCCCCUAGGAUGUCCCCAAAAUGUGGGUACAGCCCUCCUGCUCAGCCUCCUCACCAACCUUUGGGCAACGGGGGCCUGAAGACUCGCCCUCUCCCACCACUUAGGCCCUGGCCUGGCGCUCUGUCCAGUGCCUCCCCUACCCCAUCUCCAGCCUGAGAAUAAACCUGGAAUGUCCUUCAUGACUCAGCCAGCUCGGGCUCUCUUGGCCAGUGUGUCUGCAAUCCCUCCCAAGGUCCUGUUGUAGCCAACACAGGACAUCAGUCCUGAGGACAGAGAGCAGGACACCAGAGGCUCUGGGAGGGGCUACCCUCUCUCAUCCAGCCAUCUAGAGUGGCAAGGUGGG
This 1575-nucleotide long non-coding RNA is filed under the name Ictidomys tridecemlineatus (thirteen-lined ground squirrel). RNAcentral describes it as "lncRNA (ENSSTOG00000010556.3)". Lineage: Eukaryota; Metazoa; Chordata; Mammalia; Rodentia; Sciuridae. The record is from RNAcentral.